Molecule: long non-coding RNA, 821 nt
Organism: Sander lucioperca (pikeperch)
Lineage: Eukaryota; Metazoa; Chordata; Actinopteri; Perciformes; Percidae
Exons: 4
Source: RefSeq, a predicted model, not a curated record
CCUGCCGUGACUGAGUUGAGAAUAUACUCUUUCCCCUGCAUCUUUCUGUUUCGCUAAACAUGAAUAAACACGACGUUGUUCUCUGUAAACAUUGGCCUUCUCCUCCGAAGAAAGGUGUCAGAAUCAGCUGAGGGAGGCAGCUAAAGGAAGAACUCUAAAGAUGGAUUUAAAACAUAAGCCGGCUACCAGUCUUGCCAAGGAAGACAUGAAAACACAUCCAGAGUGUGUACACACCAAUCUGAGCUGACAGCUGCACCCUUCUUUUCACUGAAGGAAGAGGAUUUGUUACUGGCAUCUUGAGGCUUCUACCUUGAAAUGUGCUGUGUCUUGCAAGGGAUUGGGAUCGGCCGAACAUGGUACCUUCAAAGAGCUUGGAAGGCUUUGAUGAGUCCACUUCCUCUUCCUCAUGGAUCAACAGGGCUGUGGCCUUUACUUGCUCCGAGGAAGGCAAAGUCCUUCCUUGAACUUGUAAUCAGCUCCCGGAGGUGAGCUUGAGCCAAGUAAAGGACUUGGACUCAAAAAAAAUCAAAUCACUACAUAUGACAUGUGGUUUCAGUGUGUGACUUUUGAUGCUUUGGUUUCAAGGUACUUGGCUCUCUGUGAAAUUAAGACAGUGGUAUUAUCUUUCAUUAAAAUAUAUUCCUUUGCAUUUUAUUUUCAUCCUUAUAAGCCAUCUGGAUAUUGCAGGUCUUAGGAUGUAAUUGUGGGAAAUUACAUACGUAUAAGCAUCAGGUUAAUCAUUUGAGACCAGCUAAUUCACAGAGUCAGUAGUGUUUGAUGAUUCUGGCAAAAGCAUACGUUGCUUCAUUUCUAAAAGCACU